GUGCUGGCUUAAGCAGCACAUAUUUUAAAAUUGGAAAUGAUAGAAGAUUAGCAUGGACCUUGUGCAAAGAUGAAAGGUGCAAAUUCGUGAAGUGUUCCAUAUUUUU
This 106-nucleotide small nuclear RNA is filed under the name Procavia capensis (Cape rock hyrax). The record is from RNAcentral. Lineage: Eukaryota; Metazoa; Chordata; Mammalia; Hyracoidea; Procaviidae.